CCUACGGGGGGCAGCAAUUAGGAAUCUUGCGCAAUGGGCGGAAGCCUGACGCAGCGACGCCGCGUGGAGGAGAAGUCUUUCGGGAUGUAAACUUCUUUUAAGAGGGAAGAAGCGAUUGACGGUACCUCUUGAAUAAGCCCCGGCUAACUACGUGCCAGCAGCCGCGGUAAUACGUAGGGGGCGAGCGUUGUCCGAAGUUACUGGGCGUAAAGCGCGCGUAGGCGGGCUGUUAAGUCAGAUGUGAAAUCCCCGCGGCUCAACCGGGAAAGUGCAUCUGAGACUGGCAGUCUUGAGCGGUGGAGAGGGAAGUGAAAUUCCUGGUGUAGCGGUGAAAUGCGUAGAUAUCAGGAGGAACAUCCGUGGCGAAGGCGGCUUCCUGGCCACAAGCUGACGCUGAGGUGCGAAAGCCAGGGGAGCGAACGGGAUUAGAUCCCCCUGUAGU
This 442-nucleotide ribosomal RNA is filed under the name uncultured Armatimonadota bacterium. Its description in RNAcentral is "uncultured Armatimonadetes bacterium partial 16S ribosomal RNA". It matches the Rfam family "Bacterial small subunit ribosomal RNA", at positions 338 to 794 of the family's 1533-position model. Lineage: Bacteria; Bacillati; Armatimonadota. The record is from RNAcentral.